This 454-nucleotide ribosomal RNA is filed under the name uncultured bacterium. Its description in RNAcentral is "partial 16S ribosomal RNA". It matches the Rfam family "Bacterial small subunit ribosomal RNA", at positions 28 to 507 of the family's 1533-position model. The record is from RNAcentral.
GAUGAACGCUGACAGAAUGCUUAACACAUGCAAGUCAACUUGAACUUCGGUUUGGGUGGCGGCCGGGUGAGUAACGCGUAAAGAACUUGCCUCACAGAUAGGGACAACAUUUGGAAACGAAUGCUAAUACCUGAUAUUAUGAUUAUAUGGCAUCGUAUAAUUAUGAAAGCUAUAUGCGCUGUGAGAGAGCUUUGCGUCCCAUUAGCUAGUUGGAGAGGUAACGGCUCACCAAGGCGAUGAUGGGUAGCCGGCCUGAGAGGGUGAUCGGCCACAAGGGGACUGAGACACGGCCCUUACUCCUACGGGAGGCAGCAGUGGGGAAUAUUGGACAAUGGACCAAGAGUCUGAUCCAGCAAUUCUGUGUGCACGAUGAAGUUUUUCGGAAUGUAAAGUGCUUUCAGUUGGGAAGAAAAAAAUGACGGUACCAACAGAAGAAGUGACGGCUAAAUACGUG